Molecule: ribosomal RNA, 429 nt
Filed under: Chloroflexota bacterium
Lineage: Bacteria; Bacillati; Chloroflexota
Description: Chloroflexi bacterium partial 16S ribosomal RNA
Rfam family: Bacterial small subunit ribosomal RNA
Source: RNAcentral
UGGGGAAUAUUGCACAAUGGGCGCAAGCCUGAUGCAGCCAUGCCGCGUGUGUGAAGAGGGCCUUCGGGUUGUAAAGCACUUUCAGCGGGGAGGAAGGCGAUAAGGUUAAUAACCUUGUCGAUUGACGUUACCCGCAGAAGAAGCACCGGCUAACUCCGUGCCAGCAGCCGCGGUAAUACGGAGGGUGCAAGCGUUAAUCGGAAUUACUGGGCGUAAAGCGCACGCAGGCGGUUGAUUGAGUCAGAUGUGAAAUCCCCGGGCUUAACCCGGGAAUUGCAUCUGAUACUGGUCAGCUAGAGUCUUGUAGAGGGGGGAAGAAUUCCAUGUGUAGCGGUGAAAUGCGUAGAGAUGUGGAGGAAUACCGGUGGCGAAGGCGGCCCCCUGGACAAAGACUGACGCUCAGGUGCGAAAGCGUGGGGAGCAAACAGG